RNAcentral lists this ribosomal RNA (465 nucleotides) under uncultured bacterium. RNAcentral's name for it is "partial 16S ribosomal RNA". It matches the Rfam family "Bacterial small subunit ribosomal RNA", at positions 28 to 507 of the family's 1533-position model. The record is from RNAcentral.
GACGAACGCUAGCGGCGUGCUUAACACAUGCAAGUCGAACGGAAAGGCCCUGCUUGCAGGGUACUCGAGUGGCGAACGGGUGAGUAACACGUGGGUGAUCUGCCCUGCACUUCGGGAUAAGCCUGGGAAACUGGGUCUAAUACCGGAUAGGAGCCAUUUUUAGUGUGAUGGUUGGAAAGUUUUUUCGGUGUAGGAUGAGCUCGCGGCCUAUCAGCUUGUUGGUGGGGUAAUGGCCUACCAAGGCGGCGACGGGUAGCCGGCCUGAGAGGGUGGACGGCCACAUUGGGACUGAGAUACGGCCCAGACUCCUACGGGAGGCAGCAGUGGGGAAUAUUGCACAAUGGGCGCAAGCCUGAUGCAGCGACGCCGCGUGGGGGAUGACGGCCUUCGGGUUGUAAACUCCUUUCGCUAGGGACGAAGCUUUUUGUGACGGUACCUAGAUAAGAAGCACCGGCUAACUACGUG